Long non-coding RNA from Oncorhynchus keta (chum salmon), 648 nucleotides. RefSeq lists it as uncharacterized. Lineage: Eukaryota; Metazoa; Chordata; Actinopteri; Salmoniformes; Salmonidae. The transcript is spliced from 3 exons. The record is from RefSeq and is a predicted model, not a curated record.
GGAAGCAGACUUAACCAUGUCAGACAGAGAGGAAAUAGAUGAAGGAAGCAGACUUAACCAUGUCAGACGGAGAGGAAAUGCACAUUUUCUUUGGUUCUUGAUUGCAGUGUUUCCCUCGGGUUAAAAUCUUGACAGAAAUUCCUCAAAUGAAAGUUGUUUUGUUUGCCAUUUCUUUUGAGGUAAUAAUCUUGUUUUCAUCCCAGGGGCCCGUCUGUAGAGUUGAUUCUGUUUUCCAUUGCUCUUUCAGGUCCAGAUGCAGAGCAACGGAAAGUGGAGCCACAUCACACCAUCGUGUUUGAUGAUGGAGACUGCAUAGCCGUAGAAAACAAGACAUCAGAGGUUUGCCAUUUUGUCUUGAUUGCGGGACAGCCGAUCAAUGAACCGGUGGUCCAACAUGGUCCGUUUGUGAUGAACACGGAAGAGGAGAUCAACCAGGCAGUCAGAGACUACAGGACAGGGACCAAUGGGUUCGAGAGGGCUACGGCUUGGAGGUCUAAGAUCAGGGAAUCCUUCUAAGAAUCCGCAGACAUCUUCUAAUCAUGUUAUAGGUCUUGUUACGGUCAUGUGACCAAAGUGUAUUUUAAUCAUGAACCAGCUUGAUGUGUGUUUGUCUCUUUUUAAAUCAUUAAAGUUCUCAUUUUAUACUGA